AAAAGUAAACCAUGAGUUUUUUCAUACAGUAAAGAAUUAAAAGCAUGUAUAUUCACACAACAUGACAUUUACAAAAAAAAAUAUUUCCAAAGAUACUUUAAAAAAACAGAAGAGGCAGGUGAAUAUAAAAAAAAAGGGGGUAGGGGGAAUGGGGCAAACAAGAGACAUUAUUUCAAAGUAGCUGCCAAAAAAGAUCAUCUUUCUUUACACGUCAAGGAGAAGGAAAGGAGCUCUGACACGGCACCGUUACUUUCUAUGAAGGAAGCAGAAUUCCUUGACUCGUGUGUGUACAACUAAAACAGCUUCCACUCUCAGUCACAGCUUUGCAUUGUAUCAAUCAUGAGAUUUGUGCACAGAUUAAGGCAUAAUAAGGCCAAAGAAGUUUAAUUAGGAUUACUAAACCUGGGAUCCAGUUAUAAACCUCUUGAACUUUGGCUUAAGUCAGCAAAACACUUAAGAGUUCAGCAAAAAUUCAGCUGCUGAAUUAGGACCUUCAUCAGACUCGACUAGCUGAUAUGCAUGACUGGAAUUUUUUUUUUCUUUUAAUAAACACUAGUACAUAGAAAAAAGCAGACAGAAGGAAGGUGUUUUGGUAACUACGUGUCAUUUCCUUGCAGCAGAGGAUCUCAAAUUCCCUUAUAAAUGAUAACAGUAAAAGAAAGUGGUCUUUCAAUUUCAGACACUGAUAAACUGAAAACCAGAUUGCUUAACACUAAAAGAUUUAAAGCAGGGCAUACAAGGCAUUCUGCCUAGGCAUCAAAAUUGAUUUCAGGCAAGGAAUUUCUUACUAAAUUUAACUACUACCAUGUAAUCGGCACUUUUCUGUGCAGCUGGGGGUUACAUGGAAAUAAAGAGUUCUUUUAUAAAAUCAUGGCCCUAUAUCCUACGAACUCACAUUUUUUUGUUCCAAGUUCACCAGCUUGUGAAAGAUACUAUAUUGGUGGGGGAAGAAAAAAAAAUAAUCCGAGUUUCUGUUUCAGGGCUGUAGCAAACAUUUGAGAAUGUUUCCUUCCCUGCUUCAUGUCCAGAUCCCAUUGACAAACUGUCUCACAGCACCUUGCCUCAGGUAAAAGCAGCAGCAGCUUUGGUGCUCCUGAGGUCCAGGCUCUCUCUCCUGUACUGUCCUUUGCCUUUAAGAUGGCCCCAGCAAUCUAGCUUGGAGAUGUGAUGACCAUAAUGCAGUGUUUUCUUACUAGAAUUAACAGAAUGUGAUACCGUACGCAAAAUUAUUCUGAUUUUAUUGUUGAUCUUAAAUGUACUAUUUAUUCAUGCAAGACUUGCCGACAUUUUCUGAAGGUCCCUUACAAUCAACACGCUUUAUACUGUUUUAAUCUUGAAAUUUUAGGGUAUCAACAGCCACAAAUACUUGUAUAAGACAAUUGCAACAGUGUAAUUCUUUUACAUUAGCAAUUAUACAGCUAAGAAGUAAAAAGGACAAACACACCAACGCUGCAUACUGUAUUUUUUUAAAACACAGUAAUAUAUUAUGGUUUCAAACCUCCUCCUCAACUGGAUUUCAAGUACGGGACGGAUUUCAUACUGGGACUUUAAAAGCUACUCUACAAUCUGCUGAGAAUGAAAAUCUGGUUUUUAUACAUUUGGCUUGGCAAAGAAGGACAUACACCAACCACAGGCACCGCCUUUUAGCAUUUCAAAGAAAUCCUUCCACACCUGUGAACUGAACCAUGCAUUUUGCCCUAUUUCUUGUCAAGUUGGAUCAAUUUGCACUGAUGUUGAUUCUGCUACUGGUACAUGGCUACUGAUAUCUAAAUUUAAAGCAUGUUUAGAUAUCUCUAUUUGUAAUAACAUUUGUUACGGUAGUAUAAACAUAGGCAUAGGAAACAACCUGGAGUGUUCUCCUGCCUUUGCAGGCAGACCCCACCAGCGUCGCUGCUACAGAAUCUGCUCUGUUUCAGACAAGUGUGUGAGAAGCACCAGAACAGUCCAAAAAAUUAUUUACCACUUUUUCUUGUGAGUUGAAUAUUCAGUCUGACUGCUGAUUUCAGAUUAAAAAUCCGUCUUUAAGCGGACAGAUAAAAAUGUGCGCUACUGCUAAACAGGAACUCCACCUUCCCUUUCCUUGAGCAGAGCUCCCUGGAGUACAAGCAUUGUCUCAUCUUCAUGGCUCCCCAAGCCCUUUUUCUGUCGCACUCCCCUGUUCUUCCCUUGGUGUCUUCCAUUUCGACGUUUCUCUGUACUGGACCCAGCCCUCUGAGAUGUCUCCCACGCGCCCUCUCUUCCCUGGUUUUCUUUGUGAUCUCCGGUAUUCGUCUCCCUCUGCAUCCCUAUUCCCAUGUGUCCUUCCACCUGUUGUCCUCCUGGACUCGUACUGCCUCAGCACUCUUUCAGUGCCUCAGCAGCCUCCAGCUGCUAUGAGAGCUCAACCCAGUUGGCUAAAGCAAGGAGAGAGUUUCACAUCGGUCCCUUACUUUCCACAUUCUGACACAAAAAAACCCCCGAUCACAGAUAUGAUUAAGGUCAGGUAGACAUCCCAAUAUUCUCCUGAGUUGAGAAUGGUAGAACAGGUAUAAAAAGCUGGAUUAUUACAAUCAUGGUCUUUAUCAAGCCACUGUGCCAUACGCUUCAACUUACUUCUCCCCUUCAUUAAACUUGGCUAGCAACUCUAGUCUUUUUGGUAUUUGGUAUUCUUGUGUCUAGAUGCACACACAAAGGUAAAUGCUAGAAUGAAUUCCAAACUAACUGUACUCACAAAAGAUCACGUAAUGAAAUAAUAGUAAAUAGGUCUAUUUAUGAAUCUAUAUGUAGCUCUAAAGAUCACACUGAGUUGCUGUUAAUACUUUGCUGAGGUGCAAAGCAAUAAUCAAAAUUAAAAUAAUAAAAAAAUAGCUUUACUAUAUUCAGGUUUUGAUAUAAUGCAUUCAUUAUACCUUCUACCGACCAUUUAUAACUUGUAAGCUGCUUCUCAGAUGCCCUUUGAUUCAUGGAAAAGCACUUGCAUGUGGGAAAAAGGAUCAGGAAAAUUAUGGACAAGUCAUCUCUAAAAAAACCAUGAUCUGUUCCUAACUCAUGUCCUCUGCUCUUUCCCCUUCCACACUUCCUGGCUCAAACAAGACAAAGCAGAUGUGGCUCUAUAGGAUCUCUGUAUGCAAAACGCCCAUAAAAUACUCCCACUAUAGAUGUUUCUAUUCUAACAUCCUUGGGUUUAGGAAUUAUCCCCUGAAAGAGAUUCUGGUAUAAACCUGCUGAAGCCAACAGACAAACAGAUCCCUAUCUGAAUUUGGGGCUGUGAUCUAUAAGUCAGAACCAUUAAUCAUCCUUCCUGAUCAUUAAAAAUUAACCUUAACUUAACCUUCAGUGCGUGUCUAGAGACAUGUCGUACCUAGAACUGGUGCAGUUGCUCACGUGUUGGAGUGGCAAUUCCCCUCCAAAAAUCUGGUCUGACCAGUCCUACUUACUCCCUCUCACACUGUCAGCAAGAAGGGAGACCAGCCUUCCUGCUGCUUGGAAUCCAACAUCAUACACUCAUCCAGGAAUACGGGGGAAACUUCUGAGAAAACAAGUAUGCAGGUUAUAAAGAAGAGGAACCGUUGUGGAAUCUGCAAGCUAGAAAUGCUGCUGUUCAGCUCCUGCCAGUAUAUGAACUUUUUGAUGGUGGAAAGGAACUGAAUCAUCUACAGCCUUCCUUAAACAUGUAAGAGAAGGUGAGCUGUCCUACUAGUGAAUUUCAAAACACCGUUCAAAAGUAAAUUUUGGAGAAUGAUUGAUGUCUUCCACCUUGAAAAGACCAAGGCUUUUGUUUCCCCCCUCCAGCAGAAUACAAGUAUUUCUCAGGGAAUCCAGUGGCACUCAUUAGCGUGCUGCGGAGAAGCAGCAGGUAUCUUUUGCGCAAGAAAGGACCAGGGCCUCUACAAGGUCAACUGGCUGUUAAGGAUAUUUUCUACAGCUGUUGAAAGAAAACAAGCUAAGCCAGCAGUCUGGCACUCUGGGAACACUGGCACAUAGCACCACUGCUGAUAAAAGCUGCUUUGGAGUUGGUGAAUGCAGCACUGUAGCAGAGUGACAUUUACCAGCUAAAACACUGAAAGCAUAGCUCACAGUUUCACUGGGAUUAAAUGUCAAGCUGCUGGUUAAAACAAAAGGUGAUGUGCACAUGUGAGCUGAAGACUGUGCUGCUCCUCAGCGCUGGGGCUGCCUCCUGGAGUAUAUUUAGGACAUCACUCAAGCCUCCUUAGUCCUGAUAAUGCUGCCUUCCCCGCAGUGUUAAACAACUGAAGAUAUAGACGGUGCUGAUAAAGAUCUACUAAGAGGCAAAGAUAAGUGAGCACGACCGUGUGGAUGACUAAUUACCAAACAAGAUUUCUAUGAACGGGAAAUACUUCUGGUCACUUUACUAAACUUUCAUCCUUGGUGCACAAUGAGAGAAGAGACUGCCACGUUCAAUUUCAAACUAAGUCAUCCCCACUUGAUUCAGCAGCUUGCGGUGGGCAAGGAACCUUUGUCUUCCAAAGCAAAAGCAGGGUAAGCAAACUUAAAGAUGUUAGUCCUAAGUGAGCCUGUUGCUCACCUUAGCAGCAGUUUCUUUACAUUAAAAGGGUUUAUUCUGAUAAUCAUUGGUACCGAGUCCUGCAACCUGUUGUCCCAGUAGCGCUGCUGAAGACAACAGAAAUGUCAGAAGUGCACCAUAUGAAAUCAAUACCACCUGAAUAAUUAAUUUACUCUGUGUUGUGCUACUUGCUCAGAAGGACUAAGAUUUUUGUAGUCAGAACAUUCAUUUCCAUUGUACUUUUUCCAAUUUCUAAACAAAAAAAUAGAAUCUUUCUACUCAUUUCACUGGACAUCAGAUAACACAGAUAAAUCACCAGGCUCAUACUGCUGUCUGUUAAUCAUACAGCAAACUAGCUCAAAGCAAGCAAACAUCUGAUAAAAAAGAUAAACAAGAUAUGUCAUGAUUUUUUCAUGAUUUUUAGGAGUUCAGCAUUUGCUCAGGUCAUCAACCAGAAAACUCGCUGACAUUAAGAGGUAUUGCAUACUUUUAAAAUGUGUAACUAAUGCUUAAUUUUAAAAUCCAACCAAAACACAGUCUGGAAACACACAAAAAUAAUACAAUUUCAACUAAGGUUUUCUUAGAUAAAACAUUUUUGGACAUUAUUUCUUUCCAAGAAAUACAUUAUGUCACUGAGCAAAAUGCCAAAGUAAAAAAUUAAAGAGAAAAACCCCCACCAUUUUUCUGCCACAGUAUUUUUAUAGCUACAAAUAACACUUCAAUGGCUAGCUGGUUUACAGAAUUAGGAAAGAUUUAUUUUCAGCAUGCUUUUCUUGAGCAAGAGAUAGCCUUCUUUGUACAGUAACUUUGAGUACGAUUAUGUUCCCUCAUUGCUUUAAAUAGGCUAACAUGUCAACAGAAGGUAAAGACCACUUUAAGAGAAAGUAAAGAAUGUGGUAGUGAAAACUGGUAGCAAGAAUGGCAUUUGCUAUUUUUACUUUGGUAUACUUAGGUAUAUUUACUUUGAAUUUUCAGUGUCUCUCUAAUACAGCACUAAUCAAUAGUGUUUAUUUAGUUCACUUUUAGAAACAUUAAAUCUAAAGAACAGCACCUUUAGCUGAACUUUAGUGCAAGCAAUUAUCAAUACCUAGAAAACCAAAAGCACCUGCUGAUCUUAAAAAUACCCUUUUAAAGAAUCACUUUCAAAUUGCCUUGAAUUAGAAUGUCAUGUUAAGAUAAUUUUAUCUUACAAGAGCAUAUUUAACA
Chroicocephalus ridibundus (black-headed gull) is the source of this 5710-nucleotide long non-coding RNA. RefSeq lists it as uncharacterized. NCBI's taxonomy places the organism in Eukaryota, Metazoa, Chordata, Aves, Charadriiformes, Laridae. The record is from RefSeq and is a predicted model, not a curated record. The transcript has 4 exons.